CGUAGGGACCGAGCGUUGUCCGGAUUCAUUGGGCGUAAAGAGCUCGUAGGCGGCCACUCAAGUCGAAUGUGAAACCUCGAGGCUUAACCUCGAGCCUGCAUUCGAUACUGGGCGGCUAGAGUCUGGUAGGGGGAUCUGGAAUUCCUGGUGUAGCGGUGGAAUGGCGCAGAUAUCAGGAGGAACACCGGUGGCGAAGGCGGGAUCCUGGGCCAGUACUGACGCUGAGGAGCGAAAGCGUGGGGAGCAAACAGGAUUAGAUACCCUGGUAGUCCACGCCGUAAACGAUGGGCGCUAGGUGUGGGAGGUCAUCGACUCCUUCCGUGCCGCAGCUAACGCAUUAAGCGCCCCGCCUGGGGAGUACGGCCGCAAGGCUA
RNAcentral lists this ribosomal RNA (374 nucleotides) under uncultured organism. Its description in RNAcentral is "bacterial SSU rRNA". It matches the Rfam family "Bacterial small subunit ribosomal RNA", at positions 526 to 896 of the family's 1533-position model. The record is from RNAcentral.